GGUAUCCUACGGGACGCAGCAGUGAGGAAUAUUGGUCAAUGGGCUUACGCCUGAACCGGCCAAGUCGCGUGAGGGAAGACUGCCCUAUGGGUUGUAAACCUCUUUUGUCAGGGAGCAAUUGGCGCUACGUGUAGCGUUAUCGAGAGUACCUGAAGAAAAAGCAUCGGCUAACUCCGUGCCAGCAGACGCGGUAAUACGGAGGAUGCGAGCGUUAUCCGGAUUUAUUGGGUUUAAAGGGUGCGUAGGCGGAAUGCCAAGUCAGCGGUAAAAUCGCGGGGCUCAAACUCGCUCCGCCGUUGAAACUG
RNAcentral lists this ribosomal RNA (305 nucleotides) under uncultured bacterium. RNAcentral's name for it is "bacterial SSU rRNA". It matches the Rfam family "Bacterial small subunit ribosomal RNA", at positions 333 to 635 of the family's 1533-position model. The record is from RNAcentral.